Molecule: long non-coding RNA, 871 nt
Organism: Lathyrus oleraceus (garden pea)
Lineage: Eukaryota; Viridiplantae; Streptophyta; Magnoliopsida; Fabales; Fabaceae
Exons: 2
Source: RefSeq, a predicted model, not a curated record
CCUUCUAUCAACCGUAAUAUCCUUUCGCCAACCGCCGUGAAACCCUCCGACGAAACCUAAAUCACAAAACCCCUUAACCUCCUCCUUCAUCCGCCUCUUCGUCACCGGCGAAACCCCUUCGCAACCCAGCUCCACCGUCAAAAUCAUCACCGCAGAAACCCUAACCUAACCACCACAACGACGCAUGCCAAGCCCUACCGUCGCGAAAUCCAUCUGAUCUACACUCAAAACAGGAAGCCGCAUAAACAUCUCCAUUUACCGCCUCCAUCGACAACAAUUUUUUCUAAUGUUUCUGGGUUUCUCUGUUGGUUUGUUUUAACAGGUUCUAUGACAGAUUCAGUAUCACACAAGGUUUCGGCGAGCUGUGUAACCAUGAUAAUCUUCAACCUGGUGUACGAGAUUAUAUGUCGCGGAUGUGUGGAUGCAAUUAAUGUAGAGCAUUGCAAGUGAUUUAAUUCGAUAUUACAGCAACGACCAACAUCAAUAGCUGGUAGUAUUGAAAAGCCGUAUGUCGGUAACAUUCCGUCGCUCCCUGUUUGCUAACCGAUUCAUGUUUGGUUUACAUAUAUGAGUUUAGAUCUGUUUCUUCUUUUUUGUUAAUAUUGGUAAAAUCUGGGUUUGACCAAUUUGUGUAGAUUGUCAUGAUAUUGGGGGGUCGUUACACUUCAAAUAAUUACAUCACAUUUCUGCCAUGUUGUAAAUAAACUCCCUGUUACUUGUAUAUGCUAACCGAUUCAAAACCCUUUGGAUUUGGUGUUUCUCUGUUCGUAAUAAAACCUGUGAUUUGAGGCUGGAAAUUAAUUUCAAGGUAUUCAAUGAGAAGGACAGCCAUUCAUGACAGUUGAAUGUGCUUGUACACCAUUUUUGUUAA